This 69-nucleotide transfer RNA is filed under the name Neotoma lepida (desert woodrat). It matches the Rfam family "tRNA". From Rfam's summary of the family: Transfer RNA (tRNA) molecules are approximately 80 nucleotides in length. Their secondary structure includes four short double-helical elements and three loops (D, anti-codon, and T loops). Lineage: Eukaryota; Metazoa; Chordata; Mammalia; Rodentia; Cricetidae. The record is from Rfam by way of RNAcentral.
GGAGAUGUAACUCAGUGGUAGAGUGCUUGCCUAGCGUGCAUGAAGCUCUGGAUUCCAUCCCCUGCACCA